UACAGAGGUCUCAAGCGUUGUUCGGAUUCAUUGGGCGUAAAGGGUGCGUAGGCGGCGCGGUAAGUCGGGUGUGAAAUCUCGGAGCUUAACUCCGAAACUGCAUUCGAUACUGCCGUGCUUGAGGACUGGAGAGGAGACUGGAAUUUACGGUGUAGCGGUGAAAUGCGUAGAUAUCGUAAGGAAGACCAGUGGCGAAGGCGGGUCUCUGGGCCGAAAUUGACGCUGAGGAGCGAAAGCGUGGGGAGCAAACAGG
Molecule: ribosomal RNA, 253 nt
Filed under: uncultured bacterium
Lineage: Bacteria
Description: partial 16S ribosomal RNA
Rfam family: Bacterial small subunit ribosomal RNA
Source: RNAcentral